Lolium rigidum is the source of this 92-nucleotide small nucleolar RNA. RefSeq annotates it as small nucleolar RNA Z266. The transcript has a single exon. NCBI's taxonomy places the organism in Eukaryota, Viridiplantae, Streptophyta, Magnoliopsida, Poales, Poaceae. The record is from RefSeq and is a predicted model, not a curated record.
GAUUAGAUGGAAUGGUGAUGCAAUUAGAUGCACGAGGUCACCUAGUGAGCUAAAACAUUAAGAGGCAUGUAUUCUGUUUGACCCAACCAAUC